GGCGGGAAAGCCCGCCCCCUGCCCCGGGGCGUCAUGGGAGAGAGGCCAGCCCCCAGCCUUGAGAGUCAUUCCUGUCAUCUUGAAGGGAAGCCACCGAAAGCUUCAUGACCACAAGAGGGCGUGUUCUGUUUUGAAUUUAAUGUAUCCGACUGCUCUCAGUGCCAGUCACAACAUCUGAACAGGUGCGUACAGCAUCUCUGCCACUUCUUCUGUCCUCUGCCUGAGUGCAUUGUGCCUGGCCUGGACAGACCACAUCUCAAAAGGAGACAAGAAUGACUUUGCAAAGCUGAUAGUGCACAGUGGAACAGGCUCCUAGAUGAAACCCAGGCUGUGCUGAAGUCUGUGAGUUAGUGCCAAAUGCAGAUUGGACUCUGAACACACAUGCACAGAAGUUGGAUAAGAGCUCAGGAUCUUCUGAAUGAAAAACACUAGUAUUUUUUCAUCUGAGUAAAAGGUGUCAUCGUGCAGGAGUGAAAGAGUUCAGCAAAGGUUAAUUAUCACAUAAAUUAUGUCUUCCUCAGCAGUCUGGGUAAACCUGAGUGGGUGAACUGGCAUGGAGGGAUUAUGAACUGCUAAUGAUGAACUGAUGGUAUAUCCUGGCCUAGAAACCCUUCUGAAACAGAGUCAUGCUCUGCCCAGUGGGUUUGACAGCCUUGCUCUUGCACUGAAUUUCUCAAUCUGUGAGCCAUGGCUGACUGGCAAAGUGCUACGAAGAGCAUCCCAUCCUCCUCUAAGACACAUGUGUGAGGAGGCAAGAAAAAUUCACAUUUAGUUGAAGUGAGAUAGGGGAUCAUAGACUGAGAAGCAACUCUUAUCAAACCAGUGUAGGACAAAACACCUUGUGCUGCUAACCAGAGCUGCCUCAGGGCGCUACAGCACUAUAGGCAAUGUUGAAUUUUGCUGCAUCAAGGGAAAAGGGUUUGAGUCAGGUUGGGCUUAACCUAGAAGGGACCUGGACAAGAAGGAAAGGGAAAGAUGAUGAGUGAACUGCGUGUCUGUGUUUCCCUUUCCCGCCAGAACUAUUGGAGGGGGUGCGGCAGUGAGAUCUGCUGCUGAGAGGAGCCACCUUGCAAGCGUGGUCUGUCACCCCACACACCCUGGCCAGCUGCAGCACAGAGCACCCUUAUCUCCAGCCUGCUGGCAAAAGUACUGGCAGCUUCCGACUUCCCCAAAGCUGGGCCUGGGCCUUCCCAAGGUCCCUGCAUUUGCUUUCCCUACAUUCUGAAUAGCAAACAAGCAGCUUAAUUUCUGAAAUUGGGAGAUAAUUUUGGUUUUAGGCUUAAAGUUUUCAUGCAUCAUUUAAGCCUCUAUGAAUUUAAAAGUGAUGAAUAUUUCCUCCAUCAAGAUAUACAGCAACUGAAAUGCUUACUUAUCCUAUUAGAACGACAUCUCUUUAAUAUGAAUAUUGCCAGUGGGUUGGGUUCAGGGAGUAUGCCACACAGUUUUUGCUUUCACUGAAGUCAGGUUUCAGGCCAGCCUCUGCUUUAUUCCUAUUGUUUUGUUAUUUACAUACCUAUUUGAUUAAAUAAUAUGGUGGCAGCCACUUUAUGCAUGUGUAUGCCUGGCUCUACAUGAAUUCAUGUGCAUUGUUUAGAGCUACUGUAGGAAUUUGCAAAGCGCCGAGCCAUUUUGCACACCCACAAGGUGCGCAGAAAACUCAUCUGCGGAGGAAUGAGCCUUUUUGAAAAGGGUGGCUCUUUGAGGUGUUGGUAUGUUCAAGUUGUCCAAGCUGACACUUGAAAACCAACUCACUCUGCUUCUCUUUGUUUAUAUAUCUUACGUGGAAUUGUGAUAACAUCCACUGCUUUUUUUUAACGUGUGACAGCAUACAGUGACCCUAUCUGAAGGGCCCUCUUUUAUUUGGCACCUAGUGUCCCGUAUCCGGAACGGACCAACAGCCUGUACCCUUACGCACAUUUCAACUAGAAUCACGUCAUUAAAAAAAAAACACACAUUUUGGAGAGCUGGUUCCAUAUCUCACGAAAACGCAAGGUGCUCUCCUUUUAAAAAUAAAUUUCGCCUGCUGUGAUUCAUGCAGCCGCCCUCAAUCGCCCGAGAGCGCAGAAGGCCACCAAGUUCCUUCGAGUUAUUCAGAGCACGCGAGACAUGCAACCCGAUACGGGCGUGGAGGACAAGUAUCUAGGCCGGGCGCAGCGCUGCUGACCCGUGGGCCGAAAAAAAUAACUGCGUAGCCGCGGGGGGAGCGAAGCGGCGCUGAGCGGCAGAGGAGCGGCC
This is a long non-coding RNA of Dromaius novaehollandiae (emu), 2235 nucleotides long. RefSeq lists it as uncharacterized. The record is from RefSeq and is a predicted model, not a curated record. The transcript is spliced from 5 exons. NCBI's taxonomy places the organism in Eukaryota, Metazoa, Chordata, Aves, Casuariiformes, Dromaiidae.